RNAcentral lists this long non-coding RNA (717 nucleotides) under Ananas comosus (pineapple). Its description in RNAcentral is "long non-coding RNA (ACOM_LNC035564)". The record is from RNAcentral. Lineage: Eukaryota; Viridiplantae; Streptophyta; Magnoliopsida; Poales; Bromeliaceae.
UAGAUAAAAAUUAUUUUUUAUACUAUUUAUUUUUAUAGUUAUAAAAUUUAAUUUUUUUUAAAUUUUAUUAUUUAUUUGACAGAAGGUGAAUUAGAUAAUGUUAAAAUUUUUAUUAUUAAUAUUUUAUUAUUUUCUCAUGCCUUUUUUUUUUUUGCAAUUGACUUCUGACAGGAAUACGCCGAAGUCAAUUACGGUAAUUUAGAGAUUUUGAGUUUUGGCAAUAUGUGAAAUUAUUAUGAAUUAAACAAUAAAAAUAAACUUUUAUUGCGGAAAAUUACUUUACCACUCUCUAUGUCACGCCCCGGGGUUCCUUUGAGUUUAAAAGAUAGAGGAAAAGCGUCUGAAUUUUUUUUUUUUUUUUUUUUUGAAAACCUAACCCCAGAGUAUGCUAGACCCGUCACAAAUACAGGGAUUCCACUGUUCACACGGACAGAGUCUCCCCUGUAUUUGCACGGCGUCGCACAAGUACAACAGUACAAACAUGAUACAACCACAACUAAAUGAAUAUAGAAAUCACCAUACAUUCAUACAUUCACCAUUCACAUCACAGGUUUGCAUUCAAUGUCUAAACAUAAAUCCAUAGAAAAUCUUUUGAAAACUGUUCCCUACACAGGAACCUUUAUUCUUUAAAAACGCUACCACGAGGGGUAGAAAACCUUUUAUUUUACAAAAUCCAGAAAUCCACAUUUUCAAAUGUAAAUAAAUACUGAACCACAU